This 229-nucleotide ribosomal RNA is filed under the name uncultured bacterium. Its description in RNAcentral is "partial 16S ribosomal RNA". It matches the Rfam family "Bacterial small subunit ribosomal RNA", at positions 568 to 796 of the family's 1533-position model. The record is from RNAcentral.
UGUGUAGGCGGAAAUGUAAGCGUUUUGUGAAAUCCCUCGGCUCAACCGAGGAAUUGCUUGGCGAACUACAUUUCUUGAGGCAAGUAGGGGUACACGGAACUCUUGGUGGAGCGGUGGAAUGCGUAGAUAUCAAGAGGAACGCCGGUGGAGAAGUCGGUGUACUGGGCUUGUCCUGACGCUGAGACACGAAAGCGUGGGGAGCAAACAGGAUUAGAUACCCUGGUAGUCC